Molecule: ribosomal RNA, 253 nt
Filed under: uncultured bacterium
Lineage: Bacteria
Description: partial 16S ribosomal RNA
Rfam family: Bacterial small subunit ribosomal RNA
Source: RNAcentral
UACAGAGGUCCCAAGCGUUGUUCGGAUUCACUGGGCGUAAAGCGUGCGCAGGCGGUAAGUUAAGUCUGAUGUGAAAGCCCCGGGCUCAACCUGGGAAUGGCAUUGGAAACUGGCUUGCUAGAGUGUGGCAGAGGGGGGUGGAAUUCCGCGUGUAGCAGUGAAAUGCGUAGAGAUGCGGAGGAACACCGAUGGCGAAGGCAGCCCCCUGGGCUGACACUGACGCUCAGGCACGAAAGCGUGGGGAGCAAACAGG